Molecule: long non-coding RNA, 3977 nt
Filed under: Octopus vulgaris (common octopus)
Lineage: Eukaryota; Metazoa; Mollusca; Cephalopoda; Octopoda; Octopodidae
Source: RNAcentral
AAUAAAAUUGUAUUUAUCAGUUUAAUAGAUCUGUUCACUGGUUUGUCUUUUGUAAUAUUGUAUUUUUUAUACUUGUUAAAAUUUUAUUCUUUAUUUCUGGACAACAUUAUAUAUAAGUGCGUGAGAGACUUUAAAUGACAAUAAGGAGUGUAAAAUUAAUAAGUAACUUAAUAUGAAAUCAUCCGAGAUAUACGUAUCACAAUUUUGCUACUGCUGUAAAGCCAUUGACGUCACAUCCCAUACCACAAGCACGGAACGGUAAUAGUUAUUUCUAAGCCCCACAUUACAGAAAUAUACAAAAUAUUUGUAUACCAAAUAAUUUAUUUUACAUCCGCAACUGUGAAUAGUUGCGGUUUAUUUUCAUACACAUAACUGUAUUUUUACAUUAAUUUUGAUAUUAUUUUAGUCCGAACAAAGAGGACAGGCUUUUUAUUAACACAUGACAUUAAAAAAGAAAGUAUAGAUACUUAAAUUUUUCUUAAAUUUGUACUAGUUUGUCUCUUAGAACAGAUAAAAUUUAUAUAUAUAUAUAAUUUUAUCUGGGAUCUUUACCCUUUGAACGAGAAAUUAAUUUUUUGUAACUAAACGACUUUCAAACUUCGGACACUGGUAGAAUGUGUCAUAUAAAACAUCUUUUACUUUUAGGGUUGUUGAGAAAGGUUUGUAAUUUCAAAGUUAUUUAGUGUUAAAGUAGUCGUAUUUCGAUAAUUUCAACCUAUCAAUGACGUGUAUUCAGCUGAAUAAAAUUACUGCUGUUGUUUGUCAAUAACUUCCGGCGGUGUAUAUUUCGUUUGUCACUGUUAUGAAUAAACGAGUGUAUCUGAAGCAUGUUUACUUCAUGGCACCACCACAAUCGUUCGUGCAUUUCUACUGCUUUUAGUUUGUUUGUUUUUUCCUGUUUUUCAGCUACUAUUUUCGGAAAAACUUUUUUGAUCCACCUUCCCCUCCACUUUUACCGUAACUAACCCUAAAAUCCCAACCCUAAAGCUAAAACCAGUACAAACACACAAACGAUGUCAUAAAUAACAGUGACAAACGAAAUAUAAACCACUGAUAGUUGACAAACAAUGGCAGUAAUUUUAUUCAGCUGAAUACAUGUCACUGAUUGAUUAAAAUUACCGAAAUACGACUACUUUAUCACAAAAUAACUUUGAAAAUAUAAACUUUUCUCAACAACACUAAGAGUAAAAGAUGUUUUAUAUGACACCACCCAUACCUUCAAAUAUUUUAGAAAGUAGCACGUUAUUGAUCUUGAGUUUUAAAACUUAUAAUAUACCUCUUAGUUGGAAAUCAGUGCAUAGGUAGCAUGCCCUUACAGCAUUAAUUUUUCUUUUAGUUAAUACUAUGUAUCAGUGGUUAAAGACACAAGCUAAUUAAAUAAAUAGACAAUUUUUAAUUUUAAAUACUUGAAUUAUUACAUAUUUUCUAUAAAUCUUCUCUAUUGAUUUAAGUGAUUAAGCUAUUUUAUAUCCUUUUCUAUGGUGUUUCUACCCUACCUGAUCAUUUGAAUACUUUAUAAUUACCUUCAGAAAAAAUCUAAAUUUUUGGAGCCCUAUAAAUCCAUACUUAGCUUAUAAUAACCAAUAGGGGUAUCUUCACAAUCUAAAAUUAAACUGGCUAAAUUAUAAUUUAACUAAUUUAUAGUAAAUUUGUUCUCUCACCUAAAUAAUUAAUCUUCCUGAUAACCUUAAAUUUUAACUUUAUACAAUAAUGACAUUGUUUUUUGAAAUAGUUUUAGUAACUAAGUUUUUAUCCCUUUCUUAAAGUGUUCUGUCCUCUUAAUUUUGGUAUUUAUAUUGGCUUUAUACAAACAGCCCUUCUAAUUAAGUAUCCCUAAGAAACUGUAAUAUCAUUUAUGGAUUAACACAAAUAACUUUUGAAAUCUAUAUUAUACCUCUUAAUUUAAUAUUAGUAUAUGAUUAGCAUGUCCUUUUAACAAUAAUUAUUCUUUCAACCAAUACCGGAUUUUAGUCCUGAUUAUAGUAAACUAAAUAAGUUAACAAUUUUUAGCUCAUAAAUUAUUAUACAUUUUCUAUAAAUACUUGCUAUUGGAGUUAAUAAGGUAUAGAUAUUUUAUUAUGGUUUAUAGUGAUAAGGCUGUUUUUAUUCCUUUUCCAUGAUGCUCUAUCCUAACUGAUCAUUUUUAUUAUUGUUAUUUUAUAGUAGCCUUAAAUAAAUCUAAUCCUUGUACCCCUAUUAAUUCAUACUCAGUUUAUAUAAAUAAGGUAAUACUGGUAUCUGUACAACUUAAAAUAGUUCAAUUUAAUUAAAUCAGUAUAUCGUUGACAUGUUCUUUAACCUCAGUUGCUCCCUUAUUAAAUACCAGUUAAAUCCAUUUGAUCAAUCUCCAUAGAAACCAUAUAAUAAGUUAAUAUUUAGAAAAGUAAUAAGUAAAUAAAUUCUGUUGUGUCUGGGGAGAGUCAUUUUCUUUUUGUGCCUUAUAAUGUAACACACUCACCGGUAAAAUUUCCACUUAUUUCUUAUUUUUAUUUUCCUAAAAUUUUCAUUGCAUUUUGCAACCUUUUCAAUAGUCUUGACUCUGUCCAUUAUUUACACUGCGUUCCCUCUUAGGAGAAUAAAAAUAAGAAAUAAGUGGAAAUUUUACCAGUGAGUGUGUUACAUUAUAAGGCACAAAAAGAAAAUGACUCUCCCCAGACACAACAGAAUAUGCUUCAACACACAAACUCAUAUAAAGAAUCUUGCAAACCAAAUCCAAAAACGAAAGUAAAUAUAUAUUAAACUAUUUCUUUGUUAAAAUUUCAUUCUAAAUAAUCUUGAUUACCCUAAAUUUUAACUUUAUACAAUAAGACAAUAUUGUUUGAAAUGAUAUUUAGAAAUUACUUGAUUUAUCUCUUUCUUAAAUGGCUCUACCCUCCUGAUCUUAGUAAUUAUAAGGGCCUUUAUAUAAAUAACCCUUCUAAAUAAGUACCACUAAGAAACUAUAAAUAUCAUGUAGGGAGUAACAAUAACUUCUUAAACCUAUAAUAUUACCCUUACAUUAAAAAAAAGAUUAGUGUAAAAUAUGAUUGUUCCAUAACUUAAAUAUUCCUUUAGCCAAUACUAAACAUCUGUCUUUUAUUGAUAUUAGCUAAAUAAGUAAAUAUAUAUAGCAAUAAUAAAUCUCUGAACGAGAUGUAAAUAUAUAAUUUUUAGUCUAAUAUAUUUUGAAUUAUACUUUUUCUAAAAAUCUUCUCUAUUGGUGUUAACAAGCUACAUAUACCUUACCAUAGUAUUAGUAAUUAAGCCAUUUUAUUUCCUUUUCUAUGGUGUUCUGCCCUACUUGAUUAUUUUAUUUUAUUUCUUUAUUAUUUUAUAAUUAGCCUUUAUUUAUUUAUAAAAUUAAUCUAAUUUUUGUAUCUCUAUAAAUUCAUACUUAGCUUAUAUAAAAUUAUACUGGUAUAUUCACUACUUAUAAAAAAUACUGCUUAGAUUAAAAUUAUUAAUAUAUAAUUAGCAUGUUCCUUUGCCCCAAUUCUCGUUUAUUAAUACCAGUAUAUACCAAUUAAUCAAUAUUCACAGAUACCAUCUGAUGAGUUAGUAUUUAAGUAUAUAAUAUGUAUAAAUAUUAAACUAUUUCUGGAUAAUUUCUUUUCCUCUCUCUAUUGUGGUAAAAGUUUGGUAUAUACUCAAAAGUAUUCAUAAAUUUCUAUCCUUUUGUUAUAAUAUUCUUCUUAAUAAUCCUUUGAAUAACCCUAAACUUUAACUGUAUACAAUAUAACAACAUUGUUUAAUAUAUUUAACUUUAGCACCACAUAAGACUUCCCCUGUUUCAUUAUCAAUAGUCUGCUAGUGGGCUACCCCCUUAAUUAUCAGCUAACAUCUUAAGUUUUCCCUUACUAAACCUCAUGAUAUUGCUUGCAGCAGAGGAUCAUGGACUGGCAACUCAAGCUGGCUGUGGACAAAUGUACCACCAUGCAUUUUGGGAGGAGAAACCCAGCGUCCACCUACUCCCUCCACAACACUAGUCUCAAAAAGUC